AUACGGAGGGUGCAAGCGUUGUCCGGAUUUAUUGGGUUUAAAGGGUGCGUAGGAGGGCAGGAAAGUCAGUGGUGAAAUCCUAGGGCUUAACUCUAGAACUGCCGUUGAUACUACUUGUCUUGAAUAUCGUGGAGGUGAGCGGAAUAUGUCAUGUAGCGGUGAAAUGCUUAGAUAUGACAUAGAACACCAAUUGCGAAGGCAGCUCACUACACGAAUAUUGACUCUGAGGCACGAAAGCGUGGGGAUCAAAC
This 251-nucleotide ribosomal RNA is filed under the name uncultured bacterium. RNAcentral's name for it is "partial 16S ribosomal RNA". It matches the Rfam family "Bacterial small subunit ribosomal RNA", at positions 523 to 773 of the family's 1533-position model. The record is from RNAcentral.